Molecule: long non-coding RNA, 729 nt
Filed under: Brassica napus (rape)
Lineage: Eukaryota; Viridiplantae; Streptophyta; Magnoliopsida; Brassicales; Brassicaceae
Description: long non-coding RNA (BNAP_LNC004357)
Source: RNAcentral
UUUGAGGGUCCCAUCACAUUUUCUUCUUCUUAAAUACACUAACCCAACAGAUAUCCAUUACUUCUGUUUACACUUCUGCAAGAGGAAAAGGGAAAUGGAGAUAGAGUGCAGGGCAUGAAUAAAUGGAUUACUCAAUGAGACCACCUUCUAGACCAGUCUCCCCGCAUGAGCAACCAUAUGGUUUAAUGUAGAACGAGGAUUGACUAGCCGCAUGAAUACGCAACAAGACACAUUUACGAUAAACAUUCCACUACACUAUACACACAUGCAAUCACACACGUCUCAUCAUUACACAUUUCACUCACAUCCGUUGUUGUCCCUCCAAAGAGGCAAACCGCCCGAACACACAAUAGAAGAUGUUGCCACCCCAAGGCUGAUGCGCGUAAACACAGAUCAUAUCCCUACCAAACCGGAAGUCCACACACCCAAAGCCAGCGCCCCACACAUCAAUUUUUCACACUCUUCCUCUUCACUGUUCAACACUUCACGACCACUCAUAUCCAACAUAUAGUCCCAUCCUCUCAGUCAUUCACCCAAUCCGUUUUAUGCAUCUAAUAUCCUAUUCAUUCAAUUCCCUCUAGUAAUCUAACUUUCAAACAAGUAUAAACAAUCAUAAAGCAAUAACACAAACAAUAUCUCACAUCAACACAAUCAGUAAAGUAUCUCCUUUAACAAUAUGAGCAUUUUUAUGCGGUAUGAAUAUGCAUCUAGUAACCUAGAACCUAGCAA